Ictalurus punctatus (channel catfish) is the source of this 1103-nucleotide long non-coding RNA. The record is from Ensembl. Lineage: Eukaryota; Metazoa; Chordata; Actinopteri; Siluriformes; Ictaluridae.
AUCAGUGAUUGGUUGUUAUGAACAUCAGUGAUUGGUUGUUAUGAACAUUAGUGAUCAGUGAUUGGUUGUUAUGAACAUCUGUGAUUGGUUGUUAUGAACAUCAGUGAUUGGUUGUUAUGAACAUUAGUGAUCAGUGAUUGGUUGUUAUGAACAUCAGUGAUUGGUUGUUAUGAACAUCAGUGAUUGGUUGUUAUGAACAUUAGUGAUCAGUGAUUGGUUGUUAUGAACAUCAGUGAUUGGUUGUUAUGAACAUUAGUGAUCAGUGAUUGGUUGUUAUGAACAUCUGUGAUUUGUGAUUGGUUGUUAUGAACAUCAGUGAUCAGUGAUUGGUUGUUAUGAACAUCAGUGAUCAGUGAUUGGUUGUUAGGAACAUCAGUGAUCAGUUGUUAUGAACAUCAGUGAUCAGUUGUUAUGAACAUCAGUGAUCAGUUGUUAUGAACAUCAGUGAUCAGUUGUUAUGAACAUCAGUGAUCAGUUGUUAUGAACAUCAGUGAUCAGUUAUGAACAUCAGUGAUUGGUUGUUAUGAACAUCAGUGAUCAGUUGUUAUGAACAUCAGUGAUCAGUUGUUAUGAACAUUAGUUAUCAGUGAUUGGUUUUAGGCUUACAUUUUUUUUAGCUAGCAUAAAUAAAAAGUGACAAACUUAUUAUCUAAGCACAUGCAUUAAUACAGACUAAUAAAAAAGAGCGAGUACUUGAAUUCCAAAGGACAAGUCUUGGGUUAAUCUACUGGCAAUGAGCUGUGAUGUUUAGUGAUGGCUCCUCACGACGGCUACAAAAUAAUUCUCCUACCUAUCUGUAAAUCUGCGUUUUAAUUCGAGUCUUACGGCACUUUCUGUCUGGUUGAGUAAAAUACUCUUUACUUUUGGUCACCCAAGCACAGCCAGCAUGGAACCGUGCUCGAUAGAUCAUUAGAUAAUUAUACAAUUAUUCAAAAAAUUUCAUUCUAAUUAAAUUCUUUAUAAUAAAAUUUAGAUUCUUUCAUUUAUUUUGUCGGUCAGUCCAAAUCUCCUGAACGCAUCACGUUUCCAUCCAGCUGUCACGUAUCAGAGAAGGAACUCUGAGCUACAGUUCCCAGCAGCCACUGCACCUCACUACAUCACAG